GUAAACCCCGCCGUUCACACCUUGGGAGUUGGUUCUACCUGACGACGCUGCGCUAACCUUCGGGAGGCAGGCGGCCACGGUAGGAUCAGCGACUGGGGUGAAGUCGUAACAAGGUAGCCGUAGGGGAACCUGCGGCUGGAUCACCUCCUUU
Molecule: ribosomal RNA, 151 nt
Filed under: Thalassospira sp.
Lineage: Bacteria; Pseudomonadati; Pseudomonadota; Alphaproteobacteria; Rhodospirillales; Thalassospiraceae
Description: partial 16S ribosomal RNA
Rfam family: Bacterial small subunit ribosomal RNA
Source: RNAcentral